CCUACGGGAGGCAGCAGUGGGGAAUAUUGCACAAUGGGCGCAAGCCUGAUGCAGCAACGCCGCGUGAGGGACGACGGCCUUCGGGUUGUAAACCUCUUUUAGUAGGGAAGAAGCGAAAGUGACGGUACCUGCAGAAAAAGCACCGGCUAACUACGUGCCAGCAGCCGCGGUAAUACGUAGGGUGCAAGCGUUAUCCGGAAUUAUUGGGCGUAAAGAGCUCGUAGGCGGUUUGUCGCGUCUGCUGUGAAAACUGGAGGCUCAACCUCCAGCCUGCAGUGGGUACGGGCAGACUAGAGUGCGGUAGGGGAGAUUGGAAUUCCUGGUGUAGCGGUGGAAUGCGCAGAUAUCAGGAGGAACACCGACGGCGAAGGCAGAUCUCUGGGCCGUAACUGACGCUGAGGAGCGAAAGCAUGGGGAGCGAACAGGAUUAGAUACCCUGGUAGUCCAUGCCGUAAACGUUGGGAACUAGAUGUAGGGACCAUUCCACGGUUUCUGUGUCGCAGCUAACGCAUUAAGUUCCCCGCUGGGGAAGUCGGCCGCAAGGCUAAAACUCAAAUGAAUUGACGGCNGAGAGNGCGACGACGACGACGAGGAGAGG
RNAcentral lists this ribosomal RNA (598 nucleotides) under uncultured bacterium. RNAcentral describes it as "bacterial SSU rRNA". It matches the Rfam family "Bacterial small subunit ribosomal RNA", at positions 338 to 965 of the family's 1533-position model. The record is from RNAcentral.